This 489-nucleotide ribosomal RNA is filed under the name uncultured bacterium. RNAcentral's name for it is "bacterial SSU rRNA". It matches the Rfam family "Bacterial small subunit ribosomal RNA", at positions 36 to 518 of the family's 1533-position model. The record is from RNAcentral.
CUAGCGACAGGCCUAACACAUGCAAGUCGAGGGGCAGCACAAGGAGCAAUCUGAGGUGGCGACCGGCGCACGGGUGAGUAACACGUAUGCAACCUGCCUGUAAGCGGGGAAUAACCCGUUGAAAGACGGACUAAUACCGCAUAAUACUAAAUUACUGCAUGGUAAUUUAUUUAAACAUUUAUGGCUUACAGAUGGGCAUGCGCAUGAUUAGCUAGUUGGAGAGGUAACGGCUCCCCAAGGCAACGAUCAUUAGGGGUUCUGAGAGGAAGGUCCCCCACACUGGUACUGAGACACGGACCAGACUCCUACGGGAGGCAGCAGUGAGGAAUAUUGGUCAAUGGACGAGAGUCUGAACCAGCCAAGUCGCGUGCAGGAAGAAUGUCCUUAAUGGAUUGUAAACUGCUUUUGCAGGGGAAUAAAGUGCAUCACGUGUGAUGUUUUGUAUGUACUCUGCGAAUAAGGAUCGGCUAACUCCGUGCCAGCCGCUGC